AUCCGCCAUAGAAGAAGUGGGAGUGGAGCAUGGUUCUCUUAUUCUGCUUGGUAUGAUGAGGAGCUUUCACUGAAGACUGGAGUUCCCCGGUUGUUUUUCCUUCAGUCGCCAGGCAAUGGAAUACCUCUCAGAAGGGGUAGCUAGCAAAGGACCAGCGUUCAGCGAGGAGCAUGAGCGGCAGUACGCUGAAGUAGGAGCACUGGCUCUUGUAAAAACUCUGCGGACUAGGGGGCUAGUAGAGAGGGAGAGAUGCCCAGAGAGCAUACAGCUGUUUCGGUCGAGUGAGAGAGAGUUCUCCGGCGGCUGAAGAGUGGUUCUUGAAUCGGACAGAUGAUGUUCCAUCCUCUUUUCUGCCAAUCACCCAAAGAUGAGGACAACACCCAAACUGGCACGUAAGUAGCAUUGCAGUCUAGAGUGCGCGAAUGCAGUGCACAGCAGUGUGAGAGUAUCGCAUUAUGAGCUUCAGUGGUUCGUGGGUUCUUUUUCCAUUGAUGUAUCGGACAUAAUUUAAAGCUUGCUCAACACCCGCAAACAUUAGAUUUUAAGUAGAUUUUCUAUUAUAGCCUAACAAUCCAAAGUGUAAGUGUUUUUUGGUUUGUUUCUUUUGUAGGCUGCUGGCUUUGUUUUGUUUUUGUAGACUGGUUUAGAAUGUUCCAAUUCUAUUUUGGGGACAUUUUGUUAGAUUUAUGAAAUUCUCGUUAUUUCUCAGCAGAAGUAAUGUUUGAUCUUUAGCCCAAACAAUGCUCUCAAUAAUUUUCAAGAUUGUUUCAUUUGGAUAUGAACUAUUCUGGCGAACUUGCUGAGAUUAGGCUGUCAAUCAUAAAUAGGCCUAUUGAAACAGGGUUGUUCCAAAGUAAAUGUUUAAAAUAUAUUUAUACAUUUCUGACUCUAUACCUACAAUACUGAUUUCGAGUUUGGAGUUAAUAAAAAAUAUACCAAAUUAGAGAAAAAUCAUACAAAUAUUGUUUUGCUUAAUGCUAAGCAAGUCUAAGAAUAUUAGUUUCAAAAUGGCACUUUUUAACCGUCCACUCCCUGUCCCAUUGGUAUUUCAUAGGCUAUAUGUAUUGAGUGCUCAGAAGGUAAUAUUUUCUGUGGUGUACUGCUCUCCAAUCACUGGCACGGCCCCUAGUGGACAAUAAUAUGAAGCUUGGAGAUUCAUAAUUCUAUAUAUUUUCUUACCUGAAGUCUCUCUCUCUUCCGCUCUCUCUCUCGCUGAGAAAAGGAAGGAUCUGUUGAAAAAGUAAACCAAUUUAUUAAAUAAACAUAUUACAUCCAAUUAGUAAUAUCACGGCUGGUUUGGUUAUGUUGGAUUAUAUUGAGUAAAUAUUGAUUUUUAAGGAGAAAGUGUGAUGGGAGAUUGCGUAAUGAGUUAGGCUAUAGGCCUAAGGGUUAUUAUGGCAGGCUUGUUUUAUUAUCGGGUGAGGUGUCAGUUUUGAAAGGGAGCAAUAGUGACUACAUUUUUGAGAACGGAAGGCUUUACAAUCUAUAACAGAUUCCCUCUUUAAGACAUUUUCACACUCAUUGUGUUCAAGAGUUAAUAGGGAUGGGCCUGAAUUUAAUGUUUGCGCUUAAUAUAAAUGACAAAGUUAAUUUGCCAUGAAUUGCAGUGCUUUUCUUUUUUAGUUUAUACAUAAAUAAAAUACCCUAUACAUUUGUUAUCAUGUCUUUUGCUCCGUCCAGCCAUCAUUGCAAAUAUGGUUUAUAUGCAGCAAACAGAAGUAAAGGUUGGUUUGGUCUCAAGAGUGGUCAAAUGAGGUUUGCCCGCAAUUCUGUUAGUUGUCGGUUUGCUAAUUCCAAAUGCAGGGAAACUCCUGUUAAGUAUUCUUCAUGAUGUUGCAGACUCCCGCUGUUUCUUUCACAUUAUCAUAAGCAGAUUACAAAUAGCGGGGAACACACCCAUAUGCAGAUAGAGGAGAGGGCUAUUUCCAACUUGCAUUAUAAUGGUCUGCUCUGCUGUAGCCUAGGCCUACCUUAUCGCCACAUCUCACCCAAUUACUCAAAUGUUAAACUUUUCAAUAUGGUGGUAAUAAACGAAUCAAAUCAAAUGUAUUUAUAUAGCCCUUCGUACAUCAGCUGAUAUCUCAAAGUGCUGUACAGAAACCCAGCCUAAAACCCCAAGCAGCAAGCAAUGCAGGUGUAGAAGCACAUAAACGAUGUAUCAAUUUCUAUAUAAAUUUAAAUAAGUAGUGAUGUUUGGUUUGAUGAAAUAUACAAAAGAUAAUAUAAUUAUUUUAUUUAAAAUAUAAUAUAAUUGAAUAUUAUAGGUUAAGCAUUGUAGAUGUAUAUCACUGAAAUGUUUAAGAUUUUGUAAGCACACGCUCACAAGAAUGUGAUCUAAAAAUACAGUCUAUACAGUGUCCAGAUUCUCGAUACAUUUAUGUAUUGGCCUAUCUGAUGCUUUUCCAGGAUCUACAGCAUCAUUCAUAGCCAAAUGUUCUACCAUAAGAGGGAAUGUAGCCUACAAAUGAAAAGGCAUUUAUCAGUAUACUAAACAUGUAGUUGGUAGCUUAUACAAGUUAUAUUAUUAUAGUUCACAACAGAAUAUAUAAGUGUAUUAGGCUAUAACAGUGUUCCAUGAAACCUUUUAGGUUCAUAAAUGUGUUUUUGCUAUUGUCUAUUUCGCCAGCAGACGGCGCUGAAGGCAUGUAACAACGUGGCUUCAUCUGUCUGUGUUGCUCACGCCUAACCUUUUGGAUAUAGCCUAUGUGUGAAUUUAUAUAUGUAUAAACACGUGCUUUUACGAGAUACAUAGCGGCUUGUUACUGUAUUUUGCUUCUCAUAUUCUAUCACCUUUCAUAGCUCACAUUUACA
Oncorhynchus kisutch (coho salmon) is the source of this 2811-nucleotide long non-coding RNA. The record is from Ensembl. NCBI's taxonomy places the organism in Eukaryota, Metazoa, Chordata, Actinopteri, Salmoniformes, Salmonidae.